AGUGAACGCUAGCGGUGCGCCUAACACAUGCAAGUCGAUCGACUCUUCGAGAGGAGCGGCGAACGGCUGAGUAACACGUUGGAACCUGCCCCAAACUCAGGGAUAACAUCGAGAAAUCGGUGCUAAUACCGGAUAGUCCCGCAAGGGUAAAGCUUUUGCGGUUUGGGAGGGUCCUGCGGCCUAUCAGUUAGUUGGUGAGGUAAUAGCUCACCAAGACGAUGACGGGUAGCUGGUCUGAGAGGACGACCAGCCAGAAUGGGACUGAGACACGGCCCAU
This 277-nucleotide ribosomal RNA is filed under the name uncultured bacterium. RNAcentral describes it as "partial 16S ribosomal RNA". It matches the Rfam family "Bacterial small subunit ribosomal RNA", at positions 29 to 334 of the family's 1533-position model. The record is from RNAcentral.